CGGGUUGCCCGAAAAAAACACACCCAUGUGAAUGAACCCUUGUUUUCCCGAACUGAUCAAGGUAUCGAAGAAAUUCAAGUACAUGGUUACAGUUACAGUGGGAUAGCGAUACUGGCGGUGUUUGGUUUUUUAGAUAUUGCCCGAAAGUAUUCCAAUCUCGCCGCUUUUGCGAUUCAUAACGGCUCAACGGAACGCUCGUCCCCGCCCCAGCCUGCGCCGGCUGUUGUUGUUGUUGAUCGGCG
Molecule: unclassified non-coding RNA, 242 nt
Filed under: Hevea brasiliensis (rubber tree)
Lineage: Eukaryota; Viridiplantae; Streptophyta; Magnoliopsida; Malpighiales; Euphorbiaceae
Source: RNAcentral